Molecule: ribosomal RNA, 567 nt
Filed under: Leptammina flavofusca
Lineage: Eukaryota; Foraminifera; Astrorhizida; Saccamminidae
Description: partial 18S ribosomal RNA
Rfam family: Eukaryotic small subunit ribosomal RNA (bases 1-463)
Source: RNAcentral
GGGUCCGGACACACUGAGGAUUGACAGGCAAUUAUUGCUAACAGUUUCUUUUUUUUUUAAAAGUACUGUUGCAACAACAAAUAUGCUAGUCCUUUCAUGAUUAUGUGAUAGGUGGUGCAUGGCCGUUCUUAGUUCGUGGAGUGAUCUGUCUGCUUAAUUGCGUUUCAUUAUGGACCAUGUUAUAACAUGUACUAUCUCUUGAUUUUCAAAUUUUCAUUUAUUUGAGAUUUGUUAUAAAGAAGGAGUUUUGGUGCAAUUGGUCCUGAAAGCAACGAACGUGACCGCAUCCUCUUGUUGCCUUUUUAACUUGGCAUUUUUUUUAAUUUAUUUUAACAUUUUUGUCAUAACAUAAGAGGCUUUCAGAAAACUAGAGGGACCGCUGCGACUUUUUUAAACCAGAGGAAGGUUGCGGCAAUAACAGGUCUGUGAUGCCCUUAGAUGUUCCGGGCUGCACACGCGCUACAAUGAUUAUUGCAGUGAGCAUCUCAUUUUAUUUUUUGUGCUUGUCUUGUCUGCGAGUUUAUUCUCAACGACGACAGCCUUAGCCUGCUUCGAAAGUUCGCAGGU